CAGUAGCCGCGGUAAUACGGAGGGGGCUAGCGUUGUUCGGGAUUACUGGGCGUAAAGCGCACGUAGGCGGCUUGGUAAGUUAGAGGUGAAAGCCUGGAGCUCAACUCCAGAAUUGCCCUUAAGACUGCCGAGCUAGCAGGUGAGAGAGGUAAGUGGAAUUCCGAGUGUAGAGGUGAAAUUCGUAGAUAUUCGGAAGAACACCAGUGGCGGAGGCGGCUUACUGGCUCAUACUGGACGCUGAGGUGCGAAAGCGUGGGGAGCAAACAGGAUUAGAUACCCCUGUAGUCCCUGUCUCUUAUAC
This 301-nucleotide ribosomal RNA is filed under the name uncultured bacterium. RNAcentral's name for it is "partial 16S ribosomal RNA". It matches the Rfam family "Bacterial small subunit ribosomal RNA", at positions 509 to 807 of the family's 1533-position model. The record is from RNAcentral.